This 627-nucleotide ribosomal RNA is filed under the name uncultured bacterium. RNAcentral's name for it is "bacterial SSU rRNA". The stretch from base 1 to 526 matches the Rfam family "Bacterial small subunit ribosomal RNA", at positions 338 to 873 of the family's 1533-position model. The record is from RNAcentral.
CCUACGGGAGGCAGCAGUAGGGAAUUUUCCGCAAUGGGCGAAAGCCUGACGGAGCAAUACCGCGUGAGGGAUGACUGCCUAUGGGUUGUAAACCUCUUUUUCAGGGAGGAAUAAAUGACGUGUACCUGAAGAAUAAGCAUCGGCUAACUCCGUGCCAGCAGCCGCGGUAAGACGGAGGAUGCAAGUGUUAUCCGGAAUCACUGGGCGUAAAGCGUCUGUAGGUGGCUCGACAAGUCAACUGUUAAAUCUUGAAGCUCAACUUCAAAAUCGCAGUCGAAACUAUCGAACUAGAGUAUAGUAGAGGUAAAGGGAAUUUCCAGUGGAGCGGUGAAAUGCGUAGAGAUUGGAAAGAACACCGAUGGCGAAGGCACUUUACUGGGCUAUUACUGACACUCAGAGACGAAAGCUAGGGUAGCAAAUGGGAUUAGAUACCCCAGUAGUCCUAGCCGUAAACAAUGGAUACUAGGUGUUGAAACAGAUCGACCUGUGCAGUACCAAACGACUAACGUACGUUAAGUUAACUCCCGUCCGUCGGGUAAGGUAGUGCGACGCGAAGUAGUAGAAACUACAAUAGAAGUUAGUACGGCGUGAGACGUCGCCGAACGGACGACGACGAGGGGAGGUAGG